UGGCACCUAGAGUCCAUUACUUGCAUGUUGCCAUUUUCACAUUCUCCAUUAUAGAUGUUUAUGUUAGUUUCACCUGUGUGUCUCCCUCCCUGGACCAAAAGUUCCUUCAAGGUGUGUUUCUCCUGCAUUUCCCAGAGCACUUAGCAUACAGCGCUUUGAGCCAGGCCUCCCCCAAGCUCUAGUUCCAUUGUUUGUUAGCAAUGUGGUCUUGGACAAGUCACUUUAUCUCUGAGACCUCGAGGUGUCUCAUCUAUAAAAUGGGGUAAUGAUUUUUAUUGCAUAGGAUAAUUGUGAGGAUUAAGUAAAGUACCUAGUUAGCACUCAAUAAACAUUAGUCGCCUUCCUCCCGCCUCUGGUCCCUGGUUCAGAAAGAUUGUUGCAACAUCGUGGGGGAGCGUCAAGGGAGGGAGGAGGGCCUCGCUCUUCCCGUGGGUCCCGCGGACACACUGGGUGCACCUGAAAGAUCUCACGGGCACUGGCUUGCGGAGCGGCCGGGCAGAGAGGCCGGAUAUCAGCACUGUUGGGCGAAGCCUUGGGCAUCAGUGGUAGUCACUGCCACCCGUUCCUAUAUGGGCAUGUUUGACAACUUCCAAGGAGUGCUCAUCUUUGAUGUAAACAGAAAGAAAACGCUGAAAACGAUUCGCAAAAGCAAACUUUAUAGUAUGAGUCUCCUUGUCUAGGAUAAUACUUUAAACCAAGGUAUGCUCGUAGGGAGAGGUAAACAGUCAUCUGCCAGUGAGUCGUUUCCUUCCUGUCCCCGUCGCUGCUCAGUCUGUGUACAGAAUCUGUGCUGUGAGAUCAUAAGGGUCAUUGUCAUGGCUGUGAUCAUCCUUGUCAUCACCAUCAACGGCAGCCUCUUCCUCCCUCCCCUCAUCCACCCACAGCUGCCAUGUGGGCGGGAGGCAGGGCAGGGGGCAGGGUCCCCCCCUCCUCACCUCCCAUGCCAUUCUAUAUAGACCCCGUGGCUAUACAUAGCCUCGUGGGUCACCGCACUGCUUGGAUACGUACUUGAUUCUUCCAGCAACCCCACGAGGACAGCGGUUUACUGUGGCUCUUUGGUGCCCAGGAAGAGCCCUGCAUCGGGAGGAAGAUGGUGGAGGUACUGACUGUGGCUCUGCCUCUUGCUUCCAAGAGAACUUGGACAAGUCACGUGACUUCUCUGAUCUUCAGCGUUACCAUGUAGCAUCGGACAAGAUCUAGGGGCUUUGAUUUUCCUGGCAAUGAUCAUGAUCUUCUCUCUCAACUCAUCGCUCAGCCUGAGCCUGAAAUGUCCUGCUCCUCCAGGCAGAGGAGACCUGCCCUCCCGAAGCCCUGUGGACGGUGCCACCAGAACAACAAUACUGAGAAUGACAGAGAUGUUCCGCUUUCCCUGUCCGUCACCGGUGGGCAGCCACCUCCCGGAAGCGGAUGAGCCUCCCUCCCACCAAUCACUGGAAGAUCAGUGGUAGCCCCACCCCCCGACACAGCCGGAGUCACCCCCUCGCUUCCUCUCGCCACACAGUCAUUUUAUCAUCUCAAGUCGGCCCGAUGAGGGUAAAGCAGCUGAGCUCAAGAGAGGUUUGAAUAACUUGUUCUAGACCACACGGCUACUAAGAAGAACCAGGAUCCACACAUUUGUGUAUAAAGUCUCAUAGUGUUUGUUUGUGCCCUGACGGCACGAUGCUCCUCCCCUAAGAGUGGUGGCCGUGGGGGAAAGGCACUGGCCUGGGAGUCAGGAAGCCUCUGGUCCUGCCUGCGUCUGCCCGUAACCUAUGAGUCAUCUUGGGAGCUUGACUUCCUGGAGAGUGAAUAGAGGACCGUUCCUGUCCACACGUUCCCUGAGAUCCUUCCUCCGUCCAGUCAAAGGCCUCUUCUGACGUUAUCCUUAUGCUCAUUGUCCAGAUUUAGGUGCCAUAGCCUAAUGGAAACACUAAAAAAUUGGAGUAUAUCCAGGAGGAGACAUUCAUAUGAUGAGGAACCUGAACAUCCUUCUAAAGAGCUGCAACUGAGGAAGUGCCCCAUAAGAGCAGGGGCAGUCUAACAUGGCUGGCGCAGACGUUUCUAAUCACGGACCACUACUGUAAAUAUUCUCUAGUCCCGGCCAGUCUCCGAUCUGUGAAGCUAGUGUAUGAGCCUCAUCUGCUUUCUGGAACCCUGGUCCUCCACUUGCGUUCUUGCCUCCUCGCUUGGGAUGCCAGCGGUAACGGGACUGGCUCCCCGUUCUGAUUCUGAACAAGGUUACAGGCCAGUAUGGACUUCACUGCCCAGACUGGAAGUGAACUAGGAGGAAGGGACUGGGAAGAGCAUCUCCAAACACACCCAGAACUGCCGUUGGGUUAUACAUGGACUCUUGGAAGAGAACAGCUACAGGUUUUCAGCGAGGGCUUGAUGGGAGAAAAAGGGAAAAAAGGCUGGACUUCACUGCGGCUCAUAGUCUCCAGGCAGGAUUCUUGAAGCACACAGGUUGUAACACCCCUACAGCUACCUCGAGGACUUCCUUUAAUGUUUCACCACCAGAGCUUCGUUCUGCUUCCACAAGAGGCUAUGCCAUGCUUCAAAACACUGCAACAGAAAGAAGAGGGGAAAAAAAAAAGAUUUCUAGACAAUCCAGUCUGUAUGAAAUACCUAGGGCAAUUCCUGGCACCAAAGAGGUGUUGAGUGUAAGUUAAAUGGAUUUUUUUAUGUGAUUAUUGAAAAUGUCUUCUACGCCUUCUUCACAAAUACUAUCCCCAAACAAACUACGUUUGUCAACACCAAGGUCGAAACAGUACCACAAAAGAGAAGAUUUCUCUGCUGG
Felis catus (domestic cat) is the source of this 2776-nucleotide long non-coding RNA. RefSeq lists it as uncharacterized. Lineage: Eukaryota; Metazoa; Chordata; Mammalia; Carnivora; Felidae. The record is from RefSeq and is a predicted model, not a curated record. The transcript has 11 exons.